RNAcentral lists this ribosomal RNA (253 nucleotides) under uncultured bacterium. Its description in RNAcentral is "partial 16S ribosomal RNA". It matches the Rfam family "Bacterial small subunit ribosomal RNA", at positions 524 to 776 of the family's 1533-position model. The record is from RNAcentral.
UACGUAGGGGGCAAGCGUUGUCCGGAUUUAUUGGGCGUAAAGCGCACGCAGGCGGUUUCUUAAGUUUUGAGUGACAGGUGGGGGCUCAACUCCCACAGGCCUUGGAAAACUGGGAAACUUGAGGACGAGAGAGGGAUGCGGAAUUCCAGGUGGAGCGGUGAAAUGCAUAGAUAUCGAGAGGAACACCUGCGGCGAAGGCGGGUUGCUGGGCUGACACUGACGCUGAUGCGCGAAAGCCAGGGGAGCGAACGGG